This 305-nucleotide ribosomal RNA is filed under the name uncultured Pelotomaculum sp. RNAcentral's name for it is "bacterial SSU rRNA". It matches the Rfam family "Bacterial small subunit ribosomal RNA", at positions 1077 to 1382 of the family's 1533-position model. The record is from RNAcentral. Lineage: Bacteria; Bacillati; Bacillota; Clostridia; Eubacteriales; Desulfotomaculaceae.
UGGUUAAGUCCCGCAACGAGCGCAACCCCUACGUUUAGUUGCUAACGCGUGAAGGCGAGCACUCUAGACGAACUGCCGUUGACAAAACGGAGGAAGGUGGGAUGACGUCAAAUCAUCAUGCCCCUUAUGUUCUGGGCUACACACGUGCUACAAUGGCCGGUACAGACGGACGCAAAGCCGCGAGGUGGAGCAAAUCCUAAAAAGCCGGUCUCAGUUCGGAUUGCAGGCUGCAAUUCGCCUGCAUGAAGUCGGAAUCGCUAGUAAUCGCAGGUCAGCAUACUGCGGUGAAUACGUUCCCGGGCCUU